AGUGAACGCUGGCGGUAGGCCUAACACAUGCAAGUCGAACGGCAGCACAGUAAGAGCUUGCUCUUACGGGUGGCGAGUGGCGGACGGGUGAGGAAUACAUCGGAAUCUACUUUUUCGUGGGGGAUAACGUAGGGAAACUUACGCUAAUACCGCAUACGACCUACGGGUGAAAGCAGGGGAUCUUCGGACCUUGCGCGAUUGAAUGAGCCGAUGUCGGAUUAGCUAGUUGGCGGGGUAAAGGCCCACCAAGGCGACGAUCCGUAUCUGGGCCGAGAGGAUGAUCAGCCACACUGGAACUGAGAGACGGUCCAGACUCCUACGGGAGGCAGCAGUGGGGAAUAUUGGACGAUGGGCGCAAGCCUGCUCCAGCCAUACCGCGUGGGUGAAGAAGGCCUUCGGGUUGUAAAGCCCUUUUGUUGGGAAAGAAAAGCAGCAGGUUAAUACCCCGCUGUUCUGACGGUACCCAAAGAAUAAGCACCGGCUAACUUCGUG
RNAcentral lists this ribosomal RNA (492 nucleotides) under uncultured bacterium. Its description in RNAcentral is "partial 16S ribosomal RNA". It matches the Rfam family "Bacterial small subunit ribosomal RNA", at positions 29 to 507 of the family's 1533-position model. The record is from RNAcentral.